RNAcentral lists this long non-coding RNA (277 nucleotides) under Gallus gallus (chicken). Lineage: Eukaryota; Metazoa; Chordata; Aves; Galliformes; Phasianidae. The record is from RNAcentral.
UCCUCGCCUUUGCGAGUCUCUCGUCGCUCCUCCCUGGUUUUGCGUGCCUCUUCCCUAUCCCUCUGCUGCUCCGACGUCGGGUGGCCGGGGCUUCGACGGCUUCCCUGAGGGAAGGGCUGCAGGCUGAGGCCGCCUGUCCCCCCCACGUGCCCCUGCGUCAGCGCGGCCCGCAGGACGCCAGCUGGACUGCAUCCAGCAGCAGCGUGGUCAGAAAUCUGCGAUGACGGGUACAAGGCAUAUUCGUACUUCUAAAAAUUUUCCUUAAAAAUUGUUCAGC